UACGUAGGGUGCGAGCGUUGUCCGGAAUUAUUGGGCGUAAAGAGCUCGUAGGCGGUUUGUUGCGUCGGCCGUGAAAACCUGCAGCUUAACUGUGGGCCUGCGGCCGAUACGGGCAGUCUUGAGUUCGGUAGGGGAGACUGGAAUUCCUGGUGUAGCGGUGAAAUGCGCAGAUAUCAGGAGGAACACCAGUGGCGAAGGCGGCUCACUGGCCCGAUACUGACGCUGAGGCACGAAAGCGUGGGGAGCAAACAGG
Molecule: ribosomal RNA, 253 nt
Filed under: uncultured bacterium
Lineage: Bacteria
Description: partial 16S ribosomal RNA
Rfam family: Bacterial small subunit ribosomal RNA
Source: RNAcentral